CCCCUCUCUGGGUUGCACCUGGAGAAUUUCCAGUACUCUACCAGUUUUGACUAUGGUAGGGACAGUCAAGCAGAGGCAUACCCAUUCCAUUCCUAGCUUGGGCAGUGGCUAGUGAGUGGAAGGCAAUCUGCUACAAGU
Molecule: small nucleolar RNA, 138 nt
Filed under: Ornithorhynchus anatinus (platypus)
Lineage: Eukaryota; Metazoa; Chordata; Mammalia; Monotremata; Ornithorhynchidae
Source: RNAcentral